CUGGUUGAUCCUGCCAGUAGUCAUAUGCUUGUCUCAAAGACUAAGCCAUGCAUGUCUAAGUAUAAAUGAUAUACAGUGAAACUGCGAAUGGCUCAUUAAAACAGUUAUAGUUUAUUUGGUAAUCGAAUUUACAUGGAUAACCGUGGUAAUUCUAGAGCUAAUACAUGCUGUAAAGCCCGACUUCACGGAAGGGCCGUAUUUAUUAGAUAACAGACCAAUAUUCCUCGUGUCUAUUGUGGUGAAUCAUAGUAACUAAUCGGAUCGCAUGGGCUAGUCCCGCGACAAACCAUUCAAGUUUCUGCCCCAUCAGCUUUCGAUGGUAGUGUAUUGGACUACCAUGGCUUUUACGGGUAACGGAGGAUUAGGGUUCGAUUCCGGAGAGGGAGCCUGAGAAACGGCUACCACAUCUAAGGAAGGCAGCAGGCGCGUAAAUUACCCAAUCCUAAUUCAGGGAGGUAGUGACAAGAAAUAACGGGUCGGGGCUAUGCCCCGGGACUGCAAUGAGAUGAAUUUACACCCCUUUUCGAGUAACAAUUGGAGGGCAAGUCUGGU
RNAcentral lists this ribosomal RNA (552 nucleotides) under uncultured ciliate. RNAcentral's name for it is "SSU rRNA". It matches the Rfam family "Eukaryotic small subunit ribosomal RNA", at positions 4 to 565 of the family's 1831-position model. Lineage: Eukaryota; Ciliophora. The record is from RNAcentral.